This 826-nucleotide ribosomal RNA is filed under the name Mycobacterium sp. RNAcentral's name for it is "bacterial SSU rRNA". It matches the Rfam family "Bacterial small subunit ribosomal RNA", at positions 107 to 928 of the family's 1533-position model. Lineage: Bacteria; Bacillati; Actinomycetota; Actinomycetes; Mycobacteriales; Mycobacteriaceae. The record is from RNAcentral.
UGAGUAACACGUGGGCAAUCUGCCCUGCACUUCGGGAUAAGCCUGGGAAACUGGGUCUAAUACCGGAUAGGACCUUUAGACGCAUGUCUUUUGGUGGAAAGCUUUUGCGGUGUGGGAUGGGCCCGCGGCCUAUCAGCUUGUUGGUGGGGUGAUGGCCUACCAAGGCGACGACGGGUAGCCGGCCUGAGAGGGUGUCCGGCCACACUGGGACUGAGAUACGGCCCAGACUCCUACGGGAGGCAGCAGUGGGGAAUAUUGCACAAUGGGCGCAAGCCUGAUGCAGCGACGCCGCGUGGGGGAUGACGGCCUUCGGGUUGUAAACCUCUUUCACCAUCGACGAAGGUCCGGGUUUUCUCGGAUUGACGGUAGGUGGAGAAGAAGCACCGGCCAACUACGUGCCAGCAGCCGCGGUAAUACGUAGGGUGCGAGCGUUGUCCGGAAUUACUGGGCGUAAAGAGCUCGUAGGUGGUUUGUCGCGUUGUUCGUGAAAUCUCACGGCUUAACUGUGAGCGUGCGGGCGAUACGGGCAGACUAGAGUACUGCAGGGGAGACUGGAAUUCCUGGUGUAGCGGUGGAAUGCGCAGAUAUCAGGAGGAACACCGGUGGCGAAGGCGGGUCUCUGGGCAGUAACUGACGCUGAGGAGCGAAAGCGUGGGGAGCGAACAGGAUUAGAUACCCUGGUAGUCCACGCCGUAAACGGUGGGUACUAGGUGUGGGUUUCCUUCCUUGGGAUCCGUGCCGUAGCUAACGCAUUAAGUACCCCCGCCUGGGGGAGUACGGGCCGCAAGGCUAAAACUCAAAAGGAAUUGACGGGGGGCCCGCACAA